UCCGACCAUCAAAAUCCGUUGAAGUUGCUUAAGUAAAAGUCUCGGAAUUGGUUUAUUUUAUCAACACUCGAUCCACUCGUCAUCAUUUCCGUUUCAACUUUUAAACUCGCAAAAUUUGCGAAAAACUUGUUUGAAAUUGAAUUGCAAUAUGUCAAUAAUGCCGUACAAACUUCUAUUAGCCGUAAUCAACUCUUAUUAUUAAAUAUAAUAUGCAAAUUCCGUGCAGCUACAAGCGACCGUCGUUAGCGUUGAUGAAAACACGAAAAGGAAAAUAACUUCUUACAUUGUAUUACACACAGGCAGAACUUGCAGCGUUAGAAAAACCUAUUUAGACACAGGUGGUGUAUAGUCGAUGAUGAGUAAACAAACGAGGCGUAUAUUGCAAACAUUUUUCGCGUGAAUAUAUACAGAGAUAUAACAUUAUAAUGAAUACGUUUAACUUUACUAAUCCUAUAGGCAUCGAUGAACUUACAAUGACAGGUUACAUUAUGCGUAACCACGUUUGACGAACCCUUGUAUAUAAAGCAGACAAUGUUUUGUAAAGCAAGGAGAAUCACACAUGUUGGAACAUUUGUCGAGGACAGAUUUCAACAGAUUCCAUGAGCUCACAUCACACAAUAUUAUCAUAUUAUCAAAAUAACAGAACGAUUGAUAGGAUGACAUCACCAGUGAAUGAACAGUUAAGAAUAUUUCCUUUUUUAGAUGUCUUUAUCAAUUUAUAUUUUAAUGUUACACUUAUAAAGUUAACAAAUAUUUUUUUUGUAUGGAAAAUUAUUUUUUAUAACAAUAUAAAAAUAUAUAUAGUUAACUAACAUGAAAA
Daktulosphaira vitifoliae (grape phylloxera) is the source of this 820-nucleotide long non-coding RNA. RefSeq lists it as uncharacterized. The record is from RefSeq and is a predicted model, not a curated record. Lineage: Eukaryota; Metazoa; Arthropoda; Insecta; Hemiptera; Phylloxeridae. The transcript has 2 exons.